AACUGCUGUUUUUUUCUCCAUCCAAUUUUCAGCUGAAGUGGCAUCGGGAAUUGGACUGGCAUACUGUAGAUUUAUUUUCUGGAUGGAGGGAGGUUCGAAUAGGUGAAAUUGCAUCACGCUGUGCCUCGGUUUCUGUGGAAUUGUUUGCAGGCUGAAAAUUGUUGAUUUUGACACCUUUCGGGCUGCUGCAUUGUGUUCCUCUUUAUUUCCAUCUAAUAAAUGCAUUUGUGCCCUUUGUUGGCUGCAUUUUUUAUGGUUUUCAUUCCUUUUUGCGAACUCUGGCGGGGGGUCAUCUACUGCUGAAUCCUCCAGUUGGCCACUUGACUGGUGCUCGUCCUGCCGCUGGUCCUGCGGCUUGAGGAUAUCUUUAUUCGCUCAUUAGCAGCCCGAUUGUGCUGGCUGCAGGUCCUUCGAGUCCUGGAGCUCCUGCGGCGAGGUACUCAACUCAGUGGGCGUGUGAAAUUACCGAAAAUAAGAGGUAAAUUGCGUUUUUCCAACUCAAUUAUGCUUUAUUCGUCGAAAUGUUGGGGAUCAGAUUGCAAGAAGUCUUGUACAUAAUUACAAAUAAAUUUAAUUUAUAGUAUUAUUUUAUUUCGUUUCAACUUGAACUUGUAUCAUAACCACUCAUAAAAUGGUUUUAAAGUCUUUUCUCAUAAAAAGUUUCCAAAAUGGGUCUAUUUACAAGUUCCGGAUUUUAAAAAUAAUGAAUACUUUUUUUUAUAUUUAUUUACUAUACUGAAAUUCAAGUGACUUUCACAGUAUAAGUGACUUAUUUAUUAUAAGCUUUAACUAAAGCGCGCCUGCCGUGUUUCCAAUCGUAUUAGCAACACACACGUCUUGCAGAUUAGACCGCAAAUGAAACCGACUCAGCCGAAAAUCGCUGAACUUUCGACAGCAUUUCGCCUUGUAAUCAAAAUCCAUUAGUCAACAUAAUUACGCUUUAAUGGACUCGAAAGUUGUUUAUGCCUUGCCUCGAUUCGAACCGAAAGCGAUGGCUGUUGUUGUGCUCUUGCGAUUCCUAGCCCAUAAAUCUUGGAAAUCCGGCGACGAUUGCGACGGCCCCAACUGAUAACAGAGUGUGAAAAUAGCACUACCGAAUAUUAUUCCAUUGUUUUUGAAAAACUUUUGGAAUUUUAUAGCAAGUCACAGUGUUGACAGGGGGAACGAAACGAAGUGAGACUUUUGGCACGUCUUGACAAUUGAUGAACCUGCUCUGAUUUUGAUUCGGAAUUGCGAUUCGGACACUACAUAAAUUAUGCAAACUUUGUCGUGUGCCAAAAAAAAUGUAAUGCCCGAAAAUUAACAUUUAAAUCGUAGCGAAAAAUAAACCCGGUAGCACAAUUCA
Molecule: long non-coding RNA, 1345 nt
Organism: Drosophila yakuba
Lineage: Eukaryota; Metazoa; Arthropoda; Insecta; Diptera; Drosophilidae
Exons: 2
Source: RefSeq, a predicted model, not a curated record